Non-coding RNA from Ceratotherium simum simum (southern white rhinoceros), 106 nucleotides. The record is from RefSeq and is a predicted model, not a curated record. Lineage: Eukaryota; Metazoa; Chordata; Mammalia; Perissodactyla; Rhinocerotidae.
CUGCAAAGUGCAUGGAUGAGAAAACAGUCAACCAAGAAUCUUAUAGCCAGCAAAACUAUCUUUCAAUAAUGAAGGCCAAAUAAAGACAUUCCCAGAUAAACAAAAG